This 599-nucleotide ribosomal RNA is filed under the name Auricularia auricula-judae (jelly ear fungus). RNAcentral's name for it is "eukaryotic LSU rRNA". It matches the Rfam family "Eukaryotic large subunit ribosomal RNA", at positions 50 to 633 of the family's 3401-position model. Lineage: Eukaryota; Fungi; Basidiomycota; Agaricomycetes; Auriculariales; Auriculariaceae. The record is from RNAcentral.
GCGGAGGAAAAGAAACUAACAAGGAUUCCCCUAGUAACGGCGAGUGAAGCGGGAUGAGCUCAAAUUUGAAAUCUGGCGGUCUAAGGCCGUCCGAGUUGUAAUCUAGAGAGGUGUUUUCCGUGCCGGACCGUGUACAAGUCCCUUGGAACAGGGCGUCAUAGAGGGUGAGAAUCCCGUCCAUGACACGGACUCCCGGUGCUCUGUGAUACACCUUCGAAGAGUCGAGUUGUUUGGGAAUGCAGCUCAAAACGGGUGGUAAAUUCCAUCUAAAGCUAAAUACAGGCGAGAGACCGAUAGCGAACAAGUACCGUGAGGGAAAGAUGAAAAGAACUUUGGAAAGAGAGUUAAACAGUACGUGAAAUUGUUGAAAGGGAAACGCUUGAAGUCAGUCGCGUCCGCAGGGACUCAGCCUUGCUUCUGCUUGGUGCACUUCUCUGUGGAUGGGCCAGCAUCGAUUUUGGUCGCCGGAAAAGGGCGGGAGGAAUGUGGCAGCUUUCGCUGUGUUAUAGCCUCUCGUCGUACACGGUGGUCGGGAUCGAGGACUGCAGCACGCCUUCGGUCGGGGUUCGCCCACGCCACGUGCUUAGGAUGCUGGCGUA